CCUACGGGAGGCAGCAGUCGAGAAUAAUUCGCAAUGGGCGAAAGCCUGACGAUGCGACGCCGUGUGAAUGAAGAAGGCCUUCGGGUCGUAAAGUUCUGUCGCCUGUGAGCAAGUGUGCUGAUCGAAUAGAGAGGCAUAUUGAGAGUAACAGGAAAGGAAGCACCGGCUAACUCCGUGCCAGCAGCUGCGGUAAUACGGAGGGUGCAAGCGUUAGUCGGAAUUACUGGGCGUAAAGGGUGCGUAGGCGGAUAUAUAAGUCAGUUGUGAAAUUCCGGGGCUCAACUUCGGAGCUGCAACUGAAACUGUGAAUCUAGAGGAAUGGCGGAGAAAACGGAAUUCCACAUGUAGCGGUGAAAUGCGUAGAUAUGUGGAAGAACACCUGUGGCGAAGGCGGCUUUCUGGUCUAUCUCUGACGCUGAGGAGCGAAAGCUAGGGGAGCAAACGGGAUUAGAUACCCCGGUAGUCC
This 466-nucleotide ribosomal RNA is filed under the name uncultured bacterium. RNAcentral describes it as "bacterial SSU rRNA". It matches the Rfam family "Bacterial small subunit ribosomal RNA", at positions 338 to 796 of the family's 1533-position model. The record is from RNAcentral.